RNAcentral lists this ribosomal RNA (119 nucleotides) under Halomonas sp. ATBC28. RNAcentral describes it as "partial 16S ribosomal RNA". It matches the Rfam family "Bacterial small subunit ribosomal RNA", at positions 1 to 112 of the family's 1533-position model. The record is from RNAcentral. RNAcentral also lists the same sequence under 1 other name. Lineage: Bacteria; Pseudomonadati; Pseudomonadota; Gammaproteobacteria; Oceanospirillales; Halomonadaceae.
UUAAACUGAAGAGUUUGAUCAUGGCUCAGAUUGAACGCUGGCGGCAGGCCUAACACAUGCAAGUCGAGCGGUAACAGGGGUAGCUUGCUACCCGCUGACGAGCGGCGGACGGGUGAGUA